UACGUAGGUGGCAAGCGUUGUCCGGAUUUACUGGGUGUAAAGGGCGCGUAGGCGGCCUUCUAAGUCGAACGUGAAAUCCCUGGGCUCAACCCAGGAACUGCGUCCGAUACUGGAAGGCUUGAAUCCGGGAGAGGGAUGCGGAAUUCCAGGUGUAGCGGUGAAAUGCGUAGAUAUCUGGAGGAACACCGGUGGCGAAGGCGGCAUCCUGGACCGGUAUUGACGCUGAGGCGCGAAAGCCAGGGGAGCAAACGGG
RNAcentral lists this ribosomal RNA (253 nucleotides) under uncultured bacterium. RNAcentral describes it as "partial 16S ribosomal RNA". It matches the Rfam family "Bacterial small subunit ribosomal RNA", at positions 524 to 776 of the family's 1533-position model. The record is from RNAcentral.